CCUACGGGGGGCUGCAGUGAGGAAUAUUGGUCAAUGGGCGAGAGCCUGAACCAGCCAAGUCGCGUGAAGGAAGAAGGUUCUAUGGAUUGUAAACUUCUUUUGCACGGGAAUAAAGUGCGGUACGUGUACCGUAUUGUAUGUACUGUGCGAAUAAGGAUCGGCUAACUCCGUGCCAGCAGCCGCGGUAAUACGGAGGAUCCGAGCGUUAUCCGGAUUUAUUGGGUUUAAAGGGUGCGUAGGCGGGAGAUUAAGUCAGUGGUGAAAGUUUGCAGCUU
This 275-nucleotide ribosomal RNA is filed under the name uncultured bacterium. RNAcentral describes it as "partial 16S ribosomal RNA". It matches the Rfam family "Bacterial small subunit ribosomal RNA", at positions 338 to 610 of the family's 1533-position model. The record is from RNAcentral.